GGGGCUGUAGCUCAGUGGUAGAGCGCCUGCCUCAUAUGUGUGAGGCACUGGGUUCGAUCCUCAGCACCACUU
Ictidomys tridecemlineatus (thirteen-lined ground squirrel) is the source of this 72-nucleotide non-coding RNA. NCBI's taxonomy places the organism in Eukaryota, Metazoa, Chordata, Mammalia, Rodentia, Sciuridae. The record is from Rfam.